GGCUCGUUGGUCUAGGGGUAUGAUUCUUGCUUAGACUGCGAGAGGUCCUGGGUUCAAAUCCCGGAUGAGCCC
RNAcentral lists this transfer RNA (72 nucleotides) under Danionella translucida. It matches the Rfam family "tRNA". From Rfam's summary of the family: Transfer RNA (tRNA) molecules are approximately 80 nucleotides in length. Their secondary structure includes four short double-helical elements and three loops (D, anti-codon, and T loops). Further hydrogen bonds mediate the characteristic L-shaped molecular structure. tRNAs have two regions of fundamental functional importance: the anti-codon, which is responsible for specific mRNA codon recognition, and the 3' end, to which the tRNAs corresponding amino acid is attached (by aminoacyl-tRNA synthetases). tRNAs cope with the degeneracy of the genetic code in two manners: having more than one tRNA (with a specific anti-codon) for a particular amino acid; and 'wobble' base-pairing, i.e. permitting non-standard base-pairing at the 3rd anti-codon position. Lineage: Eukaryota; Metazoa; Chordata; Actinopteri; Cypriniformes; Danionidae. RNAcentral also lists the same sequence under 1 other name. The record is from Rfam by way of RNAcentral.